GCCGGGAUAGCUCAGUUGGUAGAGCAGAGGACUGAAAAUCCUCGUGUA
RNAcentral lists this transfer RNA (48 nucleotides) under Taxiphyllum taxirameum. RNAcentral describes it as "partial tRNA-Phe". It matches the Rfam family "tRNA", at positions 1 to 47 of the family's 71-position model. From Rfam's summary of the family: Transfer RNA (tRNA) molecules are approximately 80 nucleotides in length. Their secondary structure includes four short double-helical elements and three loops (D, anti-codon, and T loops). Lineage: Eukaryota; Viridiplantae; Streptophyta; Bryopsida; Hypnales; Taxiphyllaceae. The record is from RNAcentral.